CCCUCGUUUCAAAAUCAUGAAGUCUUAGGAUUCUUCCAGGUCAAAUGUCCCACUUUCCAUCACCCUACCAGCUUUUCUAUUCUACAUCCUUUCCGAACACUCAAAUCCCCCCUCAACAACCAUUGUAAUUUAUAUUUCAGCCAUUUUAUACAUGCCCAAAAUUUACAAUGUUCGUUAUUUUAGAUCUUUGGAUUAGGAAGAUAUAAGAUAUGAUUUUAGAAACAUGAGGUUGGCCUUGGAAAGUAGAUAGAAAUAGCGGAAGAUAUAAGUAGAAGCAAGUAACUUUCAAGCUUCACUUGUCCUAUGGAGAG
Molecule: long non-coding RNA, 311 nt
Filed under: Elaeis guineensis (African oil palm)
Lineage: Eukaryota; Viridiplantae; Streptophyta; Magnoliopsida; Arecales; Arecaceae
Description: long non-coding RNA (EGUI_LNC029080)
Source: RNAcentral